This is a long non-coding RNA of Lagopus leucura (white-tailed ptarmigan), 781 nucleotides long. RefSeq lists it as uncharacterized. NCBI's taxonomy places the organism in Eukaryota, Metazoa, Chordata, Aves, Galliformes, Phasianidae. The transcript has 2 exons. The record is from RefSeq and is a predicted model, not a curated record.
CUGAGGGCCGAGCGCUGCGCCGGGCCCCGAGCUGAGGGCUGUGGAGAGGAUCCCGCCCGCCUGGCUGGUAGCGGGCUCCCAGAGAGAGUGUCUGCCCUGCCGGCACAGCAGAUGCCUUGGGUGAUUCAGAAAUGAGCAGUGGGAGCGCUUGGUGAUUUUCACAGGAGGAAGACAGCAGCCAGCAAGGCCCCGGCUCCCUGCCAUCUUGAGCCCUUCCUGGUGAUUUGCAGCAGCACAGAUAAGUACGGAGCACUGAGGACUGAAGUCAGCAUUUGGACCUGACUUUAUUUUAGUAUAAAUGACCACAUGAGAUUCAUACCAAUGAAGAUAUAGGAGUAAAAUUGCAGAAGUACAUAAAUGCCUCUUCUAAAAGUGCAGUUUCGAGUAUUUAAGGUUAAUGAGAUAGAUAGAAAAGAGUCCUCUUCACGUGUGUUUACAUGUCCUAACAGAAAGUGACGCAUUAUCUUACAUACCAAGUGUGUUUUGGAUGAAUCUCUAUCACCCUAUUGAUAUCAGGGGAACUGAAUUGAUUUAAAUUAGUGAAGGAACUAACCCAGCUAAGUUUUAAAUAAUUGCAAUAAUAUUCUCUGUCUCUUUCAGUCAGAUUUGCCCUUCGUGUUUAGUUGUUUCAUAAUCCUGCAGCUCUCCAUUUCAUCUUUACAAGACCAGAAUCUCUAUUUUCCUGUGAACAGGGAAAAAAAACCCACCACCAUAAAAGGCAGUCCUUUUAUAUUCCAAUCUUUAUUUCCUUGUUUAAAUAAACUUAGGGCACAAAAGCUCA